AUGAACAGGGAAGAGGGCACAGCACGCAGUUUUCGGCUUUCGGCUCGGAGGAGGCUCAGGUGCAACUUUCUUCGGUCGUCCCGAAUCCGGGUUCAUCCGACACCAGCCACCUCCACCAUGCCGCGGAAAGCUCGACCCCAACGAGAUCAAAGUCGUGUACCUAAGGUGCACCAGCGGGGAAGUGGGUGCCACGUCUGCCCUGGCCCCCAAGAUCAGCCCCCUGGGCCUGUCUCCAAAAAAGGUUGAUGACAUCGCCAAAGCAACCAGUGAUUGGAAGGGUCUGAGGAUUACAGUGAAACUGACCAUUCAGAACAGAAAGGCCCAGAUUGAGGUAGUGCCUUCUGCCUCUGCCCUGACCAUCAAAGCCCUCAAAGAACCGCCAAGAGAUAGGAAGAAGCAAAAGAACGUUAAGCAGUGGAAAUAUCAUAUUUGAUGAGAUUGUCAACAUUGCCCAACAGAUGCGGCACCGAUCUUUAGCUAGAGAACUCUCUGGAACCAUUAAAGAGAUCCUAGGGACUGCCCAGUCUGUGGGCUGCAAUGUUGAUGGCCGCCACCCUCAUGACAUCAUAGAUGACAUCAACAGUGGUGCAGUGGAAUGCCCAGCUAGUUAAGAACUACAAAGGAGAAUGUUUCUAUUAAAGUUCAUUUGACAACC
Molecule: non-coding RNA, 655 nt
Organism: Miniopterus natalensis
Lineage: Eukaryota; Metazoa; Chordata; Mammalia; Chiroptera; Miniopteridae
Source: RefSeq, a predicted model, not a curated record